Molecule: transfer RNA, 72 nt
Filed under: Bos taurus (domestic cattle)
Lineage: Eukaryota; Metazoa; Chordata; Mammalia; Artiodactyla; Bovidae
Also listed under: 3 other names
Rfam family: tRNA
About the family: Transfer RNA (tRNA) molecules are approximately 80 nucleotides in length.
Source: Rfam by way of RNAcentral
UCUCUGGUGGUCCAGUGGUUAGGACUCAUUGGUUGCACUGCCGUGGCCCAGGUUCAAUCCCUGGUUGGGGAA